Long non-coding RNA from Numida meleagris (helmeted guineafowl), 594 nucleotides. RefSeq lists it as uncharacterized. The record is from RefSeq and is a predicted model, not a curated record. The transcript is spliced from 3 exons. Lineage: Eukaryota; Metazoa; Chordata; Aves; Galliformes; Numididae.
CUUCAUUACAGUGCUGGGUGCAUGGGGGAUCGCUCCACCAGCAUGCACACUGAGAGAAGCAGCGACUACAUUUUUAUAGGGCAUCUAUUCUACUUUCUUAUCUUCACUUGACAACAAGUUCCACAGCCUCCUCCUCAUUCUGUUCUUGAGCUUACGUUUACACAAGCCUCCUGUCCUUCAGCUUAUAUCUGCUCAAGUGAUGCAAAAGUCUGUUCUCACAAUGUGGAAAAGCUGCUCUUAUGAUUCACAGCCACCAGGUACACGGACAUUUUUCUCAGAUUUUCACACAUAUUGUUUUGGAAAUCGCUCAUUAUGGCCCAACAAGCAAUGGAAGUUUGCCAAAUUGGGGAAGAACAGCUAAAGGUCAGCCAAAAGUCUCUGUGAUGAAGCUGCUGAUGGAAACAUGGGGAAAAAGGAAGUGGUUGAAGACCACCACAGACUGCUACCAGAGGGACAUUUAUAUAUAAUACCGAAUUCUUGGAAAAAAAGUGAAUAUGUAUGUCAAUGUACUGACUUGCGGAAUCAAACUCCAUAACCCGCGAUUAGGUUAUAAAGCAGGUAUGUUUAUUACGGUGCUGCGCCCACACCGGAUGC